This 460-nucleotide ribosomal RNA is filed under the name uncultured bacterium. Its description in RNAcentral is "partial 16S ribosomal RNA". It matches the Rfam family "Bacterial small subunit ribosomal RNA", at positions 338 to 795 of the family's 1533-position model. The record is from RNAcentral.
CCUACGGGAGGCAGCAGUGAGGAAUAUUGGUCAAUGGACGAGAGUCUGAACCAGCCAAGUAGCGUGAAGGAUGACUGCCCUAGGGGUUGUAAACUUCUUUUAUAAAGGAAUAAAACGAGGCACGUGUGCCUUUUUGCAUGUACUUUAUGAUUAAGGAUCGGCUAACUCCGUGCCAGCAGCCGCGGUAAUACGGAGGGUCCGAGCGUUAUCCGGAUUUAGUGGGUUUAAAGGGAGCGUAGAUGGGUUGUUAAGUCCGUUGUGAAAGUUUGCGGCUCAACCGUAAAAUUGCAAUGGAUACUGGCAGUCUUGAGUACAGUUGAGGUAGGCGGAAUUCGUGGUGUAGCGGUGAAAUGCUUAGAUAUCACGAAGAACCCCGAUUGCGAAGGCAGCUUACUAAACUGUGACUGACAUUGAUGCUCGAAAGUGUGGGUAUCAAACAGGAUUAGAUACCCCUGUAGUC